GAAAGGUAACGCUUAAGGAUGAGUUGGCGGCUGAUUAGGCUGUUGGUGAAGUAAAGGCUCACCAAACCAAAGAUCAGUAGGGGCCCUGAGAGGGGUAGCCCCGAGAAGGGUACUGAGAUACUGACCCUAGCCCUAAGGGGUGCAGCAGGCGCGAAAACUUUACAAUGCGCGAAAGCGUGAUAAGGGAAUCCCAAGUGCUUAUCCAUUGGAUAGGCUUUUGCCAAGUGUAAAAAGCUUGGAGAAUAAGUGGUGGGCAAGACUGGUGCCAGCCGCCGCGGUAACACCAGCGUCCACGAGUGGCGUUCAUUAUUAUUGGGUCUAAAGCAUUCGUAGUUGGUUUGUCAAGUCUUUUGUGAAAUUGUUGGACUUAAUUCAACAGCGUGCAAGAGAUACUAACAAGCUCGAGACCGGGAGGGGGCAAGAGUAUUUCAGGGGGAGCGGUAAAAUGUUAUAAUCCUUGAAAGACUUCCAGUGGCGAAGGCGCUUGUCCAGAACGGUUCUGACAAUGAGGAAUGAAAGCUAGGGGCGCAAAGCGGAUUAGAUACCCGCGUAGUCCUAGCCGUAAGCGCUGCGAGCUAUGUGUUGCAUAUUCUUCGAGAAUGUGCAGUGCCUAAGUGAAGACGUUAAGCUCGCUACCUGGGAAUUACGGUCGCAAGGCUGAAACUUAAAGGAAUAGGCGGGGGCUCACACAAGGAGUGGAGUGUGCGGUUCAAUUGGAUUCCACCCCGGAAAUCUUACCAAGAUCGACGGCAGAAUGAAGGUCAGAUUAAAGGUUUUACCUAACAAGCCGAGAGGUAUUGCAUGGCCGUCGUCAGCUCGUGCCGUAAGGUGUCCAGUUAAGUCUGGCAACGAGCAAGACCCACAUGUAUAUUUGCUAACGUUUCAGAGAUGAAGAAUGAGCACAAUAUAUGGACUGCCUGUGAAAACAGGAGGAAGGCGUGGGCAACGAUAGGUCCGUAUGAUCUGAAUAUCUUGGGCUACACGCGCGCAACAAUGGUAGGGACAAUGGGUCACAACUCCGAGAGGAGAAGUUAAUCCUCAAAACCCUAUCUUAGUCUAGAUCGAGCAUUGAAACUCAUGCUCGUGACAACGGAAUUCCUAGUAAUCGUUCAUCACUAUUGAACGGUGAAUAUGUCCCUGAGCCUUGCACUCACCGCCCGUCAAACCAUUCGAGUAGGGUUCAAAUGAGGUCUGUUCUCUAGAAUAGAACAAAUUUGGAUUCAAUAAGAAGGGUUAAGUCGUCACAAGGUA
This 1251-nucleotide ribosomal RNA is filed under the name metagenome. RNAcentral describes it as "bacterial SSU rRNA". It matches the Rfam family "Archaeal small subunit ribosomal RNA", at positions 187 to 1445 of the family's 1478-position model. The record is from RNAcentral.